Molecule: ribosomal RNA, 301 nt
Filed under: uncultured bacterium
Lineage: Bacteria
Description: partial 16S ribosomal RNA
Rfam family: Bacterial small subunit ribosomal RNA
Source: RNAcentral
CAGUAGCCGCGGUAAUACGGAGGGUGCAAGCGUUAAUCGGAAUUACUGGGCGUAAAGCGCACGCAGGCGGUCUGACAAGUCAGAUGUGAAAUCCCCGGGCUUAACCUGGGAACUGCAUUUGAAACUGUCAGGCUGGAGUCUUGUAGAGGGGGGUAGAAUUCCAGGUGUAGCGGUGAAAUGCGUAGAGAUCUGGAGGAAUACCGGUGGCGAAGGCGACCCCCUGGACAAAGACUGACGCUCAGGUGCGAAAGCGUGGGGAGCAAACAGGAUUAGAUACCCCGGUAGUCCCUGUCUCUUAUAC